Camellia sinensis is the source of this 448-nucleotide non-coding RNA. NCBI's taxonomy places the organism in Eukaryota, Viridiplantae, Streptophyta, Magnoliopsida, Ericales, Theaceae. The record is from RefSeq and is a predicted model, not a curated record.
CCCAAGAACAUGCUUCUAACAUUCAUGCCUAUCAAAAAUCAGAGGUGGAGCAAUACUUGGAGGAGUUGGUGUUUCCAAGUAAUGAGAGCUUCAAUAUUCUACAUUGGUGGAAAGUGAAUAAAGCAAAAUUUCCUACUUUGGCAAGGAUAGCUCGUGAUGUUUUAAGUGUUCCUGCUACUACGGUUGCAUCAGAGGCGGCGUUUAGUGUAGGAGGUAGGGUGAUUGAUGAGACACGUGCUUCAUUACUUCCAGAUAUUGUGGAGGCCUUGAUCACUUGCAAUGAUUGGAUUGAAUCAACCAAAAAUAGAAAUGUAGAAGAAUGCAGACAUGAGUAGAUGGAUUGAAUUGAAUCGAAUCACUUGAAGUAGAUGGGUUUGAUAAUGAGCUUAACAAAGCGGUUGCUAUUAAAGUUAUUGACUUGGAAGAAUCGUGAGUAUAUAGCUUUAAU